This 497-nucleotide ribosomal RNA is filed under the name uncultured bacterium. RNAcentral describes it as "partial 16S ribosomal RNA". It matches the Rfam family "Bacterial small subunit ribosomal RNA", at positions 28 to 507 of the family's 1533-position model. The record is from RNAcentral.
GAUGAACGCUGGCGGCGUGCCUAAUACAUGCCAGUCGAGCGAACAGACGAGGAGCUUGCUCCUCUGACGUUAGCGGCGGACGGGUGAGUAACACGUGGAUAACCUACCUAUAAGACUGGGAUAACUUCGGGAAGCCGGAGCUAAUACCGGAUAAUAUAUUGAACCGCAUGGUUCAAUAGUGAAAGACGGUUUUGCUGUCACUUAUAGAUGGAUCCGCGCCGCAUUAGCUAGUUGGUAAGGUAACGGCUUACCAAGGCAACGAUGCGUAGCCGACCUGAGAGGGUGAUCGGCCACACUGGAACUGAGACACGGUCCAGACUCCUACGGGAGGCAGCAGUAGGGAAUCUUCCGCAAUGGGCGAAAGCCUGACGGAGCAACGCCGCGUGAGUGAUGGAGGUCUUCGGAUCGUAAAACUCUGUUAUUAGGGAAGAACAAAUGUGUAAGUAACUAUGCACGUCUUGACGGUACCUAAUCAGAAAGCCACGGCUAACUACGUG